UAUACAUGCAAGUCGAGCGAACAGAUGAAGUGCUUGCACUUCUGACGUUAGCGGCGAACGGGUGAGUAACACGUAAGGAAUCUACCUAUAAGCGGGGGAUAACAUUCGGAAACGGGUGCUAAUACCGCAUAAUAUCUUCUUCCGCAUGGAAGAAGAUUGAAAGACGGCUCUGCUGUCACUUAUAGAUGACCUUGCGGUGCAUUAGUUAGUUGGUGGGGUAACGGCCUACCAAGACGAUGAUGCAUAGCCGACCUGAGAGGGUGAUCGGCCACAUUGGGACUGAGACACGGCCCAAACUCCUACGGGAGGCAGCAGUAGGGAAUCUUCCGCAAUGGGCGAAAGCCUGACGGAGCAAUGCCGCGUGAGUGAAGAAGGCCUUCGGGUCGUAAAACUCUGUUAUAAGAGAAGAACAAAUUGUAGAGUAACUGCUACAGUCUUGACGGUAUCUUAUCAGAAAGCCACGGCUAACUACGUGCCAGCAGCCGCGGUAAUACGUAGGUGGCAAGCGUUGUCCGGAUUUAUUGGGCGUAAAGGGAGCGCAGGUGGUUUCUUAAGUCUGAUGUGAAAGCCCACGGCUUAACCGUGGAGGGUCAUUGGAAACUGGGAAACUUGAGUACAGAAGAGGAAUGUGGAACUCCAUGUGUAGCGGUGGAAUGCGUAGAUAUAU
This 667-nucleotide ribosomal RNA is filed under the name Aerococcus urinaeequi. Its description in RNAcentral is "bacterial SSU rRNA". It matches the Rfam family "Bacterial small subunit ribosomal RNA", at positions 50 to 699 of the family's 1533-position model. The record is from RNAcentral. Lineage: Bacteria; Bacillati; Bacillota; Bacilli; Lactobacillales; Aerococcaceae.